RNAcentral lists this transfer RNA (87 nucleotides) under Immersiella caudata. Its description in RNAcentral is "Cercophora caudata tRNA". It matches the Rfam family "tRNA". From Rfam's summary of the family: Transfer RNA (tRNA) molecules are approximately 80 nucleotides in length. Their secondary structure includes four short double-helical elements and three loops (D, anti-codon, and T loops). Further hydrogen bonds mediate the characteristic L-shaped molecular structure. tRNAs have two regions of fundamental functional importance: the anti-codon, which is responsible for specific mRNA codon recognition, and the 3' end, to which the tRNAs corresponding amino acid is attached (by aminoacyl-tRNA synthetases). tRNAs cope with the degeneracy of the genetic code in two manners: having more than one tRNA (with a specific anti-codon) for a particular amino acid; and 'wobble' base-pairing, i.e. permitting non-standard base-pairing at the 3rd anti-codon position. The record is from Rfam by way of RNAcentral. Lineage: Eukaryota; Fungi; Ascomycota; Sordariomycetes; Sordariales; Lasiosphaeriaceae.
GGAGGUGUAGCUCAGUGGUAGAGCGUUUGCUUUGCAUACUCACUUCCUGUAUGCGAAAGGCCCAGGGUUCGAUCCCCUGCUUCUCUA